UACGUAGGGGGCUAGCGUUGUCCGGAAUCAUUGGGCGUAAAGCGCGUGUAGGCGGUCCGGUAAGUCCGCUGUGAAAGUCGGGGGCUCAACCCUCGGAUGCCGGUGGAUACUGUCGGGCUUGAGUACGGAAGAGGCGAGUGGAAUUCCCGGUGUAGCGGUGAAAUGCGCAGAUAUCGGGAGGAACACCGAUGGCGAAGGCAGCCCCCUGGGUUAACACUGACGCUCAGGCCCGAAAGCGUGGGGAGCAAACAGG
This 253-nucleotide ribosomal RNA is filed under the name uncultured bacterium. RNAcentral's name for it is "partial 16S ribosomal RNA". It matches the Rfam family "Bacterial small subunit ribosomal RNA", at positions 524 to 776 of the family's 1533-position model. The record is from RNAcentral.